UGAGACACGGUCCAGACUCCUACGGGAGGCAGCAGUGGGGAAUAUAUGCGCAAUAGGGGAAACCCUGACGCAGCAACGCCGCGUGGGUGAUGAAGGUCUUCGGAUUGUAAAGCCCUGUUUUCUGGGACGAUAAUGACGGUACCAGAGGAGGAAGCCACGGCUAACUACGUGCCAGCAGCCGCGGUAAUACGUAGGUGGCGAGCGUUGUCCGGAUUUACUGGGCGUAAAGGUGCGUAGGCGGAUGUUUAAGUGGGAUGUGAAAUCCCCGGGCUUAACCUGGGGGCUGCAUUCCAAACUGGAUAUCUAGAGUGCAGGAGAGGAAAGCGGAAUUCCUAGUGUAGCGGUGAAAUGCGUAGAGAUUAGGAAGAACACCAGUGGCGAAGGCGGCUUUCUGGACUGUAACUGACGCUGAGGCACGAAAGCGUGGGUAGCAAACAGGAUUAGAUACCCUGGUAGUCCACGCCGUAAACGAUGGAUACUAGGUGUAGGGGGUAUCAACUCCCCCUGUGCCGCAGUUAACACAAUAAGUAUCCCGCCUGGGGAGUACGGUCGCAAGAUUAAAACUCAAAGGAAUUGACGGGGGCCCGCACAAGCAGCGGAGCAUGUGGUUUAAUUCGAAGCAACGCGAAGAACCUUACCUGGACUUGACAUCCCUUGCAUAGCCUAGAGAUAGGUGAAGCCCUUCGGGGCAAGGAGACAGGUGGUGCAUGGUUGUCGUCAGCUCGUGUCGUGAGAUGUUAGGUUAAGUCCUGCAACGAGCGCAACCCUUGUUAUUAGUUGCUACCAUUAAGUUGAGCACUCUAAUGAGACUGCCUGGGUAACCAGGAGGAAGGUGGGGAUGACGUCAAAUCAUCAUGCCCCUUAUGUCCAGGGCUACACACGUGCUACAAUGGUAGGUACAAUAAGACGCAAGACCGUGAGGUGGAGCAAAACUUAUAAAACCUAUCUCAGUUCGGAUUGUAGGCUGCAACUCGCCUACAUGAAGCUGGAGUUGCUAGUAAUCGCGAAUCAGAAUGUCGCGGUGAAUACGUUCCCGGGCCUUGUACACACCGCCCGUCACACCAUGAGAGCUGGUAACACCCGAAGUCCGUGAGGUAACCGUAAGGAGCCAGCGGCCGAAGGUGGGAUUAGUGAUUGGGGUGAAGUCGUAACAAGGUAGCCGUAGGAGAACCUGCGGCUGGAUCACCUCCUUUCUA
This 1196-nucleotide ribosomal RNA is filed under the name Clostridium sporogenes. RNAcentral describes it as "bacterial SSU rRNA". It matches the Rfam family "Bacterial small subunit ribosomal RNA", at positions 320 to 1533 of the family's 1533-position model. Lineage: Bacteria; Bacillati; Bacillota; Clostridia; Eubacteriales; Clostridiaceae. The record is from RNAcentral.